Molecule: transfer RNA, 71 nt
Filed under: Camelus bactrianus (Bactrian camel)
Lineage: Eukaryota; Metazoa; Chordata; Mammalia; Artiodactyla; Camelidae
Also listed under: 1 other name
Rfam family: tRNA
About the family: Transfer RNA (tRNA) molecules are approximately 80 nucleotides in length. Their secondary structure includes four short double-helical elements and three loops (D, anti-codon, and T loops).
Source: Rfam by way of RNAcentral
GAGGCUAUAACUCAGUGGUAGAGUGCAUGUCCAGCAUAUGUGAGGUCCUGGGUUCAAUUCCCAGUACCUCU